This is a long non-coding RNA of Herpailurus yagouaroundi (jaguarundi), 1678 nucleotides long. RefSeq lists it as uncharacterized. The transcript has 3 exons. Lineage: Eukaryota; Metazoa; Chordata; Mammalia; Carnivora; Felidae. The record is from RefSeq and is a predicted model, not a curated record.
GAUUGUUUUAUUACAAAAUCAGGGUUUUGUUUAUGGAACAGAUGAAACAUUUAGGGAAUAGCGUUCCUCUUCUCUCCUCCCAGGCCACACAGAGUAGCUUGGUAGGGUCCUGCUCUGAGGUUCACCAAAGUCACCCGCCCUACAGGAUAUCCCCGAGAUCAGAUGAAUUAAAUGGGGAGGGUGGGGGGCAAGAAACUCAUUGCUCGAUAGAUUUCAUCAUUUGCUUCCUAAAACUAAGAUCCAAAGUUUAAUAUAGUGAACACAUUAGAAAGAGGAGGCAGAAACUUCAGGCCUUCCAGUCACUGCAGCCUCUCAAGUUCCACCUGCAUCUGGAGGGAAGGAGUCAGAGAGGCUGAAAGGGGUGUUGUUCUAGUUUGAUCUUGGUAUUUUAUUUUUGUUUGGUUGUUAUUAUUUUUCAAACCCUGUAUGUGAUUUUUGAAAAAAAGUAAUGAUUAGCUAUAGACGAAAUAUAAGACAUUGUGUUCUUCAUCAGUUUCUAUUUUGAAAAUAUAACUUCCAUCCCAAAUGAGGUUUUGGUACAAUUCCGUGAAGAGUAGUAUGAAUGCACCCUGAGAAGCCAGCGUUAGAGGAAGCAGACUUUGUUGUCAACUCCUGAGUGUCUGAAUUCCAACAGGGAACAAUUGGAUGUGAUUCAAAACAAGUUCGUGAUGUUGAGAGAAAAUAGUUCUGCAAUAAUGCAGGGGAGCCCUAAAAUCCUCUUUUCAAAGAGUGUAUCCCCCCUUUUGAUACAAGGUUAAACGAGGGGUUGAUGAAAUUCUGUGACUUAGGACACUGAAAAAGACAAAAUUCAGACUUGACAGUUCUUGCCAUUUCCUUCUUUACUAAAUUCACUGCCCUUUUGUGUGCAAUAAUUUUGUUUUAAUUUUAGAAUUUAAAAAAUCUGCAUUGUCCAUAGUAAAAAUAAAGACUUUAGACAGAUCUCUGUUUUCUGUGCUUGGUUGGUGAUUUUUGUAUGUAUUUAUUUUCAGCACUGCUCUGAGUUUAGAUAUUCCAUCCAACAUCACUAGAUUGCAGAUUCUCUCGGAUGGAAGAGUAGAAAAAUAACGAAAGUUGCCCCUGACUCAAAAUCUUCCUUGAAAAAUGAUGGCAAGAAAACUGACUCAUUUGACCUUUCGAACGCCAGACAUACUCCACCGCGGUGCAUCCCUUCGGCCCGGGUGCCACUGCAGUGGACACGUGCCUUAGCAGUGACACCAUGAUGGGGCGCGCCGGUGCCUCCGCUACCAGCAAGGAUGGGUCCCGGGUGCCAGCCAAGAUCUGAUCCGACUCUAGUGUCCCACUCUAACACUGUUGGCUGUUGCCUCAGACUUAUCAUGCAGCUCCAUAGGCCCAAGAGAUGCAAUAAUGUAACAGACAAGAUCUUUUAAGGAAAUUUUAUCCAACAUUCUUAAUUGGAAGGCAUUUGAGAGGAGCACAGAGAAACCAAGUGCCCAGGUUUCCUGAUACCAGUUCUGCAAAUCCUUGCUACACUACGCACCAAGGGACCUGCCGUCUUCAUAAAGUUGAUGUCUUCCGCAAAAACAAAACGACACAAAACAAGAAGCCGGCACAGAGUAUGUUCUGUGUAUCUAUGACAGAACACCGAAGCACCCUCUAUUUGGGCAGGCUGACCUCCUCGUGGCGAAUACAGUUUGGGGAGGACGGAGAUAAUAGCCGA